UUCUUAUCAUCCUCUCAUUCUCUCUCUAGAUCACUCUCUUUUUCUCUCUCUAACUUUUGAAAUGUGGAAGAAUAGAAGUGAAAAGAAAAUGGAAGGAAGGGCCCCUAUUUAUAGGAAACAAGGGUCGUUGGAUUUGCACCAAGUGGUGAAAUCCGGUGAAGAAAGAGAGUGUUGAAAAAUAAAAGAUGCUUGAUUUGACGCGAC
RNAcentral lists this long non-coding RNA (204 nucleotides) under Carica papaya (papaya). RNAcentral describes it as "long non-coding RNA (CPAP_LNC015210)". The record is from RNAcentral. Lineage: Eukaryota; Viridiplantae; Streptophyta; Magnoliopsida; Brassicales; Caricaceae.